GCUACAAAGGAGGUUGUCAGAGGUGAGAGUGGGUUUUGGUGGAGGUGAGAGUUGGUUUCAGUGGAGGUGUGUAGUUUUUGAUAUGUUUGGUAGUAGGUUUUGGUGGAGGUGAGAGUAGGUUUUGGUGGUGGUGAGAGUAGGUUUCAGUGGAGGUGAGUGUAGUUUUUGAUGUGUUUGGUAGUAGGUUUUGAUGGUGGUGAGAGUAGGUUUUGGUGCUUGGUAUCGAUAGUAGCUUUUGUUGCUGUCGAUAGUAGCUUAGCUUUUGUUGCUACAGGUAGUAGCUUUUGAUGGUGGUGAGAGUAGGUUUUGAUGUGUUUGGUAGUAGGUUUUGAUGGUGGUGAGAGUAGGUUUUGGUGCUUGGUAUCGAUAGUAGCUUUUGUUGCUAUCAAUAGUAGCUUUUGUUGCUAUCAAUAGUAGCUUUUGUUGCUACAUGUAGUAGCUUUGUUGUUGGUAGUAAUAACUUUUUUGUUUGAGGUAAUAGAUUUUGUUGUUGCCAGUAGUAGGUUUUGUUGUUGGCAGUAGUAGCUUUUGUUGUUGGCAGUAGUAGCGUUUGUUUGUGACGAUAGUAUCUUUUGUUGAUAAUGGUAGUAUCUUUUCUUGCUGGCAGUAAUAGCUUUUGUUGUUCGCUGUUGUAACUUUUGUAGCUAGGGAUAGUAACUUUUGUUGUUGACGAUAGUAGUCUUUGUAGUCGGCAGUAGUAGCUUUUCUUGCUAGGGAUAAUAGCUUUUCUUGCCGGCGGUAAUAGUUUUUCUUGCUGGCGGUAAUAGUUUUUCUUGCUGGCGGUAGUAGCUUUUGUAGUCGGUGGUAGUGGUAGUAGCUUUUGUAGUCGGUGGUAGUAACUUUUCUAGCAGGCGGAAGUAGCUUGUCUUGCUGGCAAUAGUAGCUUUUCUUGCUGGCGAUAGUAGUUUUUUUUGUUGACGGUAGUAGCUUUUGUAGUCGGGGGUAGUAGCUUUUCUAGCUAGGGAUAGUAGUUUUUCUUGCUUGCAGUAGUAGUUUUUCUUGCUAGCGGUAAUAGCUUUCGUAAUCGUCAGAAACCUCGCCGGAAGUCGGCUGGAGACAUCACCGGAGUUCGUUGGAGACCUCACCGGAGAUCUGCCGGAGACUUUUCUGGGGAGGAGAGUGGUUGUUGAUUUUUUACAAUUAUGGCAUUUUUGUAAAUAUAAGAGAGAAAAUCUAAUUUUUUUAGUUGGAUGUCAGUUUGUAAUUUAGUUGAACUUCAAUACCUUUAUUUAAGCUUGGGCGGACUUAUGUGUGUAAAAAUGUUUAGGUGGACCUCUAUAGGAGAAAAUGUCUCAAAGUGGACUUCUAUGUAAUUGGCCCUUAUUUAUACAUAGAUAUUUAUGUAAAAUCUUUUGUAAUAUUUUUUUUACUAUGAUUCUCUUAAUGAAUAUUCAUAAAAACUUCAUUUUUAACCGAGACUUAUAUUCGUUUUUGUUGGAUUGAAUCAA
Molecule: long non-coding RNA, 1448 nt
Filed under: Fragaria vesca (wild strawberry)
Lineage: Eukaryota; Viridiplantae; Streptophyta; Magnoliopsida; Rosales; Rosaceae
Description: long non-coding RNA (FVES_LNC000014)
Source: RNAcentral